AGGAUGAACGCUGGCGGCGUGCUUAACACAUGCAAGUCGAACGAUGAACUGGAGCUUGCUCCGGGGAUUAGUGGCGAACGGGUGAGUAACACGUGAGUAACCUGCCCUUGACUCUGGGAUAAGCACUGGAAACGGUGUCUAAUACCGGAUAUGACCUUCAGCCUGACAGUC
This 171-nucleotide ribosomal RNA is filed under the name uncultured soil bacterium. Its description in RNAcentral is "partial 16S ribosomal RNA". It matches the Rfam family "Bacterial small subunit ribosomal RNA", at positions 26 to 195 of the family's 1533-position model. The record is from RNAcentral.